UACGUAGGGUGCAAGCGUUGUCCGGAAUUAUUGGGCGUAAAGAGCUCGUAGGCGGUUUGUCGCGUCUGUUGUGAAAACCCGAGGCUCAACCUCGGGUCUGCAGUGGGUACGGGCAGACUAGAGUGCGGUAGGGGAGAUUGGAAUUCCUGGUGUAGCGGUGGAAUGCGCAGAUAUCAGGAGGAACACCAAUGGCGAAGGCGGCAUCCUGGACCGGAAUUGACGCUGAGGAGCGAAAGCCAGGGGAGCAAACGGG
RNAcentral lists this ribosomal RNA (253 nucleotides) under uncultured bacterium. RNAcentral's name for it is "partial 16S ribosomal RNA". It matches the Rfam family "Bacterial small subunit ribosomal RNA", at positions 524 to 776 of the family's 1533-position model. The record is from RNAcentral.